GUAACGGCGAGUGAAGCGGCAACAGCUCAAAUUUGAAAUCUGGUCCCCUCGCGGGGCCCGAGUUGUAGUUUGCAGAGGAUGCUUUGGGCGAGGCGCCUUCCGAGUGCCCUGGAACGGGACGCCGCAGAGGGUGAGAGCCCCCUACGGUCGGCUGCCGAGCCUCUGUAAAGCUCCCUCGACGAGUCGAGUAGUUUGGGAAUGCUGCUCUAAACGGGAGGUACACCCCUUCUAAAGCUAAAUACCCGCCAGAGACCGAUAGCGCACAAGUAGAGUGAUCGAAAGAUGAAAAGCACUUUGAAAAGAGAGUUAAACAGCACGUGAAAUUGUUGAAAGGGAAGCGCUUGUGGCCAGACUCGGGCCCGGCGGCUCAGCCGUCCCUCGCGGGCGGUGCACUCUGCCGGGCCUGGGCCAGCAUCAGCUCGCGGCGGGGGAGAAAGGCGGUGGGAACGUGGCUCUUCGGAGUGUUAUAGCCCGCCGUCAUGCCCUGCUGCGGGCUGAGGUUCGCGCUCCGCAAGGAUGCUGGCGUAAUGGCCACCAGCGACCCGUCUUGAAACACGGACCAAGGAGUCGUCCUAGCAUGCGAGUGUUCGGGUGCAAAGCCCCUACGCGGAAUGAAAGUGAACGUAGGUGGGAGCCUCUGGCGCACCACCGACCGAUCCUGAUGUUCUCGGAUGGAUUUGAGUAAGAGCAUGCUGGGCCGGACCCGAAAGAAGGUGAACUAUGCUUGGAUAGGGCAAAGCCAGAGGAAACUCUGGUGGAGGCUCGCAGCGGUUCUGACGUGCAAAUCGAUCGUCAAAUCUGAGCAUGGGGGCGAAAGUAAGCAGAAGCCACUCCCCCGGAACAGUCGAGGCAGCAGUUGCUAACCCGCGUUUUUAGGACUAAUCGAACCUUCUAGUAGCUGGUUUCCGCCGAAGUUUCCCUCAGGAUAGCAGUGUUGAGCUUCAGUUUUAUGAGGUAAAGCGAAUGAUUAGGGACUCGGGGGCGCUAUUUAGCCUUCAUCCAUUCUCAAACUUUAAAUAUGUAAGAAGCCCUCGUUCCUUCAGUG
This 1045-nucleotide ribosomal RNA is filed under the name Corollospora sp. 2 AS-2022. RNAcentral describes it as "partial large subunit ribosomal RNA". It matches the Rfam family "Eukaryotic large subunit ribosomal RNA", at positions 83 to 1097 of the family's 3401-position model. The record is from RNAcentral. Lineage: Eukaryota; Fungi; Ascomycota; Sordariomycetes; Microascales; Halosphaeriaceae.